GCGGGAAUAGCUCAGUCGGUAGAGCGCAACCUUGCCAAGGUUGAGGUCGCGAGUUCAAAUCUCGUUUCCCGCUCAA
RNAcentral lists this transfer RNA (76 nucleotides) under Buchnera aphidicola (Cinara strobi). RNAcentral describes it as "transfer RNA Glycine". It matches the Rfam family "tRNA". Rfam says of the family: Transfer RNA (tRNA) molecules are approximately 80 nucleotides in length. Their secondary structure includes four short double-helical elements and three loops (D, anti-codon, and T loops). Lineage: Bacteria; Pseudomonadati; Pseudomonadota; Gammaproteobacteria; Enterobacterales; Erwiniaceae. The record is from RNAcentral.